This 592-nucleotide ribosomal RNA is filed under the name uncultured bacterium. RNAcentral's name for it is "bacterial SSU rRNA". It matches the Rfam family "Bacterial small subunit ribosomal RNA", at positions 224 to 806 of the family's 1533-position model. The record is from RNAcentral.
GAUGAGCCUGCGCUCUAUUAGUUAGUUGGUGAGGUAACGGCUUACCAAGGCGAUGAUAGAUAGGCGGCCUUAACGGGUGGUCGCCCACACUGGGAUUGAGAUACGGCCCAGACUCCUACGGGAGGCAGCAGUCGAGAAUAGUCUACAAUGGACGAAAGUCUGAUAGUGCGACGCCGCGUGAACGAAGAAGCCCUUCGGGGUGUAAAGUUCUUUUAUAUGUGAGCAAUGCUUCUUAGGUGAAUAGUUUAAGGAGAGAGAUAUUAGCAUAUGAAUAAGCAACGGCUAACUCCGUGCCAGCAGCCGCGGUAACACGGGGGUUGCAAGCGUUGUCCGGAAUUACUAGGCGUAAAGGGCAGGUAGGCGGAUAGAUAAGUUUGAUGUUUAAGGCAGCGGCUCACCCGCUGUAAGGCAUCAGAUACUGUUUAUCUGGAAUACGGUUGGGGAAGACAGAAUUCCUGGUGUAGCGGUGGAAUGCGCAGAGAUCAGGAGGAAUACCGAAGGCGAAGGCAGUCUUCUAAGCCGUUAUUGACGCUAAACUGCGAAGGUGUGGGUAUCAAACAGGAUUAGAUACCCUGGUAGUCCACACAGUAAA